UUCCGGUUGAUCCUGCCGGACCCGACUGCUAUCAGAGUGGGACUAAGCCAUGCGAGUCAACGCAGCAAUGCGUGGCAUACGGCUCAGUAACACGUAGUCAACAUGCCCAGGGGACGUGGAUAACCUCGGGAAACUGAGGAUAAACCGCGAUAGGCCAAGGUUUCUGGAAUGGAUCAUGGCUGAAACCUAUAUGGCCCCUGGAUUGGACUGCGGCCGAUCAGGCUGUUGGUGAGGUAAUGGCCCACCAAACCUGUAACCGGUACGGGCUCUGAGAGGAGGAGCCCGGAGAUGGGCACUGAGACAAGGGCCCAGGCCCUAUGGGGCGCAGCAGGCGCGAAACCUCUGCAAUAGGCGAAAGCUUGACAGGGUUACUCUGAGUGAUGUCCGUUAAGGGCAUCUUUUGGCACCUCUAAAAAUGGUGCAGAAUAAGGGGUGGGCAAGUCUGGUGUCAGCCGCCGCGGUAAUACCAGCACCCCGAGUGGUCGGGACGAUUAUUGGGCCUAAAGCAUCCGUAGCCGGUUCUGCAAGUCUUCCGUUAAAUCCACCUGCUCAACAGAUGGGCUGCGGGGGAUACUACAGGGCUAGGAGGCGGGAGAGGCAAGCGGUACCCAGUGGGUAGGGGUAAAAUCCUCUGAUCCACUGAAGACCACCAGUGGCGAAGGCGGCUUGCCAGAACGCGCUCGACGGUGAGGGAUGAAAGCUGGGGGAGCAAACCGGAUUAGAUACCCGGGUAGUCCCAGCUGUAAACGAUGCAGACUCGGUGAUGGGUUGGCUUCGAGCCAACCCAGUGCCGCAGGGAAGCCGUUAAGUCUGCCGCCUGGGGAGUACGGUCGCAAGACUGAAACUUAAAGGAAUUGGCGGGGGAGCACCACAAGGGGUGAAGCCUGCGGUUCAAUUGGAGUCAACGCCGGG
Molecule: ribosomal RNA, 912 nt
Filed under: uncultured crenarchaeote
Lineage: Archaea; Thermoproteati; Thermoproteota
Description: bacterial SSU rRNA
Rfam family: Archaeal small subunit ribosomal RNA
Source: RNAcentral